This 293-nucleotide ribosomal RNA is filed under the name uncultured bacterium. Its description in RNAcentral is "partial 16S ribosomal RNA". It matches the Rfam family "Bacterial small subunit ribosomal RNA", at positions 775 to 1067 of the family's 1533-position model. The record is from RNAcentral.
GGAUUAGAUACCCUGGUAGUCCACACCGUAAACGCUGUCUACUAGCUGUUUGUGUAUUUAAUACGUGAGUAGCGAAGCUAACGCGCUAAGUAGACCGCCUGGGGAGUACGGCCGCAAGGUUAAAACUCAAAUGAAUUGACGGGGGCCCGCACAAGCGGUGGAGCAUGUGGUUUAAUUCGAUGCAACGCGAAGAACCUUACCUACACUUGACAUCCAGAGAACUUACCAGAGAUGGUUUGGUGCCUUCGGGAACUCUGAGACAGGUGCUGCAUGGCUGUCGUCAGCUCGUGCCG